AUGGAUCGAUUCUUUGUUGGAACUGAAGCUUAUAGCCCUCUUAUCCUUGCUGCACCACGGGGAACUAUCAUCCAUCAGAUGUUAUCGGUGGUAUGUCAGAAGGCGCAGACGAUCAGUGAGCCCUCUUACUGCUUCAAAAUGCUCUCUCAGAAUCUAACCUUCAACUCCAGCGAGCCUUUGGAGAACAAGUGGGGACACUGCGGACACGUAACACCAGGUAUUAUAGUCUGGGCGUUUUUCAGCGCUCUCUUCUCUCUGGUUGGAUUUCCUGCAUGUGCUGCUGUUCUCUGGGAGCUGUUUCAGAGACACAGAGCUGGAACCUCGAUCACCCCCAACGAUGUUUUCAUGAUCAACCUCACCGUCAUGGACCUGGUCUUCCUAUUUUUUGUCCCACUUGGCCUGACUAACUUCCUCCUCUGGCGCAUCAUGUCUUUCCAGAGCUUCAUCAGUUUUCUCUAUGCUCUAAACCUGGCUGGACGACCUCUUCUAACAGCAUGCAUCUGUCUGGACUGCUACAUGGCUGUGUUCCAUCCCAUCGCCUACAGCACAAAGAAGAGUCUGACUCCCCGGGUCCUUAUGGCUGCUGCUGUGUGGACUGCUACCAUGGUUCAAGGGUCCAUGUCCAUAGUUGAUAAAGAUCUAAAUCACAGUGCAUGGGCCACGUUUGUGUACAUCAUUGCGCUCCCCAUAAUUGUAAUCUGUGAUGCUUCCAUCCUCUGGACCCUGAAGAAGUCCUACCGCAGAGGGGGAGACCUCCAUCCCAGGAAGAAGAAGGCUCUCCAGAUCAUCACCAACAGCAUGGUCAUGACCAUCACCUCAUAUUUCCCCCCAGUGCUGCUGUACGUCUUUGGGCAUUUCAUUGUCACAGAUGACAACGAAUACGAGUGCGUCUUAGCAAUGCCCAUCUUGAUCAUCCCGACUGCAGGGAGUGCAGUCAUGCCUUUGCUGUAUUUGGGCAAUCUGGGGAGGUUGAAUAAUCUUUGCUGUUAGGAAGGAUUUGCAUAUAUAAAGGUGUAGUACAGGUCUGGUGCGAUAAAAGCAGAACAGAUUUAUUUUAUAUUUAAUCAUUUUAAAAUUAUUAAAGCAGAAAAUAAAGGAUUAAAAAUAGAAGUUGCUUGAAAAAUGGCAGAAGAAUGAAGCAGAAUAGUAAUUCAGCAGAUAAUAUAUAAUAUAAAAUAUCAUUUUAUGCAUUUGUAGUUGAUUGCACAGACAGAAAAAAUAACUGGAGUUGUUCCAUCUUAGUGCACUCAAUGCAUGUAUCAUCCAGACUGUUUGAAAGAACGAGAAAAGUUAUUUCUCUCCACUGCUCACAGACAUAAAACACAUAUAUCACAUAUAGCUUUUGAUGCCUCUUGUUAAUUUUACAUUAUUACUUUUCACAUUGUUACAACUAUAUUCCAUUUUUUAAAUAUAUAUCUAUAUAUAAAUAUAUAUAAACAUAUGGAUGUACUUUGUUGUAAACUGGAGAAAUGCACCUUUGGUUUCGCUCGUAUAUUUGAAUAAUGCAAAUACAUACAAUUUUCCCCACAAUUUUCACAUUACUUAACAUGUUAUUGUUUCCUACGACUUCUGCACUGAGUUAUGAAAACGAUGUUUGCUUAUACCUGCACACCUGUGUGAAGAUGAGUGUCAUGAAAGAUGACCUGCCUGCCUUCAACAUUUACAUUUGUAACGUGAUCAUUCACCCGAUGAAGCUCAUGUAAAUCGAUCAUGGAAAAUAAGUUCUUGAUUUCCCAAAGUUUUCCAGUCUAUAGGCUUGUAAAUGGCAGCAGGACCUUUUUUCUUACCUCUUUAUUGGACUUUUUCAUUCAGUUUAUCAGAUUAAAAUCUCAGUCUGAGAUUCUAGAGUUUGUUUUUCUCUGAUAGUAUCUGCAUCUAAAAGCUAAUAAAGGUUUUAUGUCACCAAA
Oreochromis niloticus (Nile tilapia) is the source of this 1907-nucleotide long non-coding RNA. NCBI's taxonomy places the organism in Eukaryota, Metazoa, Chordata, Actinopteri, Cichliformes, Cichlidae. The record is from Ensembl.